RNAcentral lists this ribosomal RNA (466 nucleotides) under uncultured bacterium. Its description in RNAcentral is "bacterial SSU rRNA". It matches the Rfam family "Bacterial small subunit ribosomal RNA", at positions 28 to 507 of the family's 1533-position model. The record is from RNAcentral.
GACGAACGCUGGCGGCGUGGAUUAGGCAUGCAAGUCGGACGGUAGAGCUUUAUCGUAAGAUAGAGUUUGAGAGUGGCGAACGGGUGAGUAACACGUAGGAAUCUACCCUUAAGACGGGGACAACCCAGGGAAACUUGGGCUAAUACCGGAUGAGAGUGCGAGAGAUUGCAUUUAAAAGGAUGGCGAAAGUUGUCGCUUAGGGAUGAGCCUGCGGUCUAUUAGUUAGUUGGUGAGGUAAGAGCUCACCAAGGCGAUGAUAGAUAGGCGGCCUUAACGGGUGGUCGCCCACACUGGGAUUGAGAUACGGCCCAGACUCCUACGGGAGGCAGCAGUGGGGAAUCUUAGACAAUGGGCGCAAGCCUGAUCUAGCCAUGCCGCGUGAGCGAUGAAGGCCUUAGGGUUGUAAAGCUCUUUCAGGGGGAAGAUAAUGACUGUACCCCCAGAAGAAGCCCCGGCUAACUCCGUG